UGAGGAAUAUUGGGCAAUGGGCGCAAGCCUGACCCAGCAACGCCGCGUGAAGGAAGAAGGCUUUCGGGUUGUAAACUUCUUUUCUCAGGGACGAAGCAAGUGACGGUACCUGAGGAAUAAGCCCCGGCUAACUACGUGCCAGCAGCCGCGGUAAUACGUAGGUGGCAAGCGUUAUCCGGAUUUACUGGGUGUAAAGGGCGUGUAGGCGGGGAAGCAAGUCAGAUGUGAAAACCAGAGGCUCAACCUCUGGCCUGCAUUUGAAACUGUAGUUCUUGAGUGUUGGAGAGGCAGGCGGAAUUCCGUGUGUAGCGGUGAAAUGCGUAGAUAUACGGAGGAACACCAGUGGCGAAGGCGGCCUGCUGGACAAUAACUGACGCUGAGGCGCGAAAGCGUGGGGAGCAAACAGG
Molecule: ribosomal RNA, 407 nt
Filed under: uncultured bacterium
Lineage: Bacteria
Description: bacterial SSU rRNA
Rfam family: Bacterial small subunit ribosomal RNA
Source: RNAcentral